RNAcentral lists this ribosomal RNA (253 nucleotides) under uncultured bacterium. RNAcentral's name for it is "partial 16S ribosomal RNA". It matches the Rfam family "Bacterial small subunit ribosomal RNA", at positions 524 to 776 of the family's 1533-position model. The record is from RNAcentral.
UACAGAGGUCUCAAGCGUUGUUCGGAUUCAUUGGGCGUAAAGGGUGCGUAGGCGGCGCGGUAAGUCGGGUGUGAAAUCUCGGGGCUUAACUCCGAAACUGCAUUCGAUACUGCCGUGCUUGAGGACUGGAGAGGAGACUGGAAUUUACGGUGUAGCGGUGAAAUGCGUAGAUAUCAGGAGGAAUACCGAUGGCGAAGGCAGGUCUCUGGGCUAUAACUGACGCUCAUGCGCGAAAGCGUGGGGAGCAAACAGG